RNAcentral lists this small RNA (56 nucleotides) under Calothrix sp. 336/3. Its description in RNAcentral is "Nitrogen stress-induced RNA 1". It matches the Rfam family "Nitrogen stress-induced RNA 1". Lineage: Bacteria; Bacillati; Cyanobacteriota; Cyanophyceae; Nostocales; Calotrichaceae. The record is from Rfam by way of RNAcentral.
UGGUAGAUGCACCCUAUAUUAUUCUGCCCUUAGUCUUUGGCUAGGGGCUUUGUUUU